GAAAUGCGAUACUUGGUGUGAAUUGCAGAAUUCCGUGAACCAUCGAAACUUUGAACGCAUAUUGCGCCCGCGUCCUCGGACAAGGGCAUGUCUGCCUCAGCGUCGGCGUACCCCCUCGCCCUCACUUUCGUCUUCGGAAGUGCAGAGAGCGGAUCUGGCCGUCUCGGCGUCGCAAGACGCCGGGUCGGCUGAAGCACAGAGCGCUUGAGCAUGGACCCCGAUCAAAGGGCAAUGACUUGGUAGGUAGAGAGUUUUGUGGCGUAACAACCCCAGACUCCCUGCACUCACGCCUGUCGUUGCUCCAGGGGACUUUGUUGGAAGCCUUGUUGGUCGUGACAUCUGCCACACCGCCCAUUACACAUUCGACCUGAGAUCAGGCAAGACUACCCGCUGAACUUAA
RNAcentral lists this unclassified non-coding RNA (400 nucleotides) under uncultured fungus. Its description in RNAcentral is "sequence contains ITS1". The stretch from base 1 to 105 matches the Rfam family "5.8S ribosomal RNA", at positions 50 to 154 of the family's 154-position model. Lineage: Eukaryota; Fungi. The record is from RNAcentral.